This 566-nucleotide ribosomal RNA is filed under the name uncultured bacterium. RNAcentral's name for it is "bacterial SSU rRNA". It matches the Rfam family "Bacterial small subunit ribosomal RNA", at positions 915 to 1481 of the family's 1533-position model. The record is from RNAcentral.
GGGGGCCCGCACAAGCGGUGGAGCAUGUGGUUUAAUUCGAUGCAACGCGAAGAACCUUACCUACUCUUGACAUCCAGAGAACUUUCCAGAGAUGGAUUGGUGCCUUCGGGAACUCUGAGACAGGUGCUGCAUGGCUGUCGUCAGCUCGUGUUGCGAAAUGUUGGGUUAAGUCCCGCAACGAGCGCAACCCUUAUCCUUUGUUGCCAGCGGUUCGGCCGGGAACUCAAAGGAGACUGCCAGUGAUAAACUGGAGGAAGGUGGGGAUGACGUCAAGUCAUCAUGGCCCUUACGAGUAGGGCUACACACGUGCUACAAUGGCCGGUACAGAGCGUCGCCAACCCGCGAGGGUGCGCUAAUCGCCAAAAGCCGGUCUAAGUUCGGAUUGUAGUCUGCAACUCGACUGCAUGAAGCCGGAAUCGCUAGUAAUCGCGGAUCAGCACGCCGCGGUGAAUACGUUCCCGGGCCUUGUACACACCGCCCGUCACGCCAUGGAAGCUGGGGGGACCUGAAGUCGGUGGGCUAACCGCAAGGAGGCAGCCGCCAAAGGUCAAUUCAGUGACUGGGGC